Molecule: ribosomal RNA, 505 nt
Filed under: Parelaphostrongylus tenuis
Lineage: Eukaryota; Metazoa; Nematoda; Chromadorea; Rhabditida; Metastrongylidae
Description: partial small subunit ribosomal RNA
Source: RNAcentral
UAGUAAAAUUUAGACUUUAUUUUUGUUUUAGUGCGAAUUUAAAAAUAAGUGGGAGGUUCUUGUUGUAUUUUAGGUAAAAUUUUGAUGCAAUUUAAGGGAGUUUUUUGUAUUAUUAAAUUUUAGUGAACGAAUUAGAUUAGUACCUAAUUAGUAAAAAUUUAAGUAUUCAGGAGUAAAGUAGUAUUUAAACUGAAAGAAUUUUGGCAGAUUUUCUAAAUUAUCUUUGGAGGUUGAGUAAUAAUUGAGAGCCCUCAUUAACUACUUAAUUUCUAGGCUCAUGUAUGAUCGUUUUUUUUAUAUUUAGGAUUUAAAAGUUUAGUGUGUUGAGCUGUAAAAAUAGAUAUAUAUUUGGUGUAUAAGAUAAGUAAAAAUUUGACCUACAUUAUAGUGAUAUUUGGAUUAAUAAUGUGGUGUUGUUAUGAAAUUGUAAAAGACAGUAAAAAAAUUUUUAUGUUUUUUUGAAGAUUAUUUAGAAAUGGUACAAAUCAUCCAUCCAUUGCCUAAA